GAAAGUAUGCGCGGAGAAAUAGAGAAAGUUCCGCUAAAAUCCAAUCAAAGGCAGAUAAAUUCACGCAAAAAUGGAGGAAAAGGGCAAAGGAAAAGAGCGAUGGAAGGCGUCACUCGUAAAUUUGUCGGAGAUGGGGGCCAAUCUAGAUUCUCUGCAGAAGCUGAUCAUGAAAAAAGCUGUCUAUGUGGACGAAGAAACAUUCGCCAAAACCUCCCUGAGCUCCGAGCAAGCGCGAAUUAUCAAGGCACUUGAGCAAAGGAUUGAGACAUUAGAAAGGGAGCUUGAUGCUGCAAUUACAGCUGCAGCUCAUGCUCGUGCAGAGAAACGACAGGCUGAGGUAGCCCAACGAGCUUCUGAGUUACGUGCACACGAGAUUACAAGAGAGCUUGAGAACACCACAAGUAUGUGUUUCUCAACUAUAUUUGAUUUCUAUCUUAUAGAACUUAUGAAUCUUGUCUAGCAUCAGGAUUCAGGACCCCUAUAAUUCUCAGUAACUGAUAAAAUGAGAUAAAGGAGCUCAUGGUCCCUAACUUUCAUGGUGACUUAAGAGUGGUGAGAGUUUAAAAUUUAGCCUCAAGUUCUUGUGCUUAGUGCUCACCUCAAGGUGAGCUUCAUGUUAUAAGCAUCACAUGGCUUAUAAAGUAUUGGUUUAAAUAUGGAUGUGUAUAGAGUUGUUAUCCUGUGGUUA
This is an RNA transcript of Telopea speciosissima, 688 nucleotides long. RefSeq lists it as uncharacterized. The transcript has 4 exons. The record is from RefSeq and is a predicted model, not a curated record. NCBI's taxonomy places the organism in Eukaryota, Viridiplantae, Streptophyta, Magnoliopsida, Proteales, Proteaceae.